RNAcentral lists this ribosomal RNA (314 nucleotides) under Crotaphopeltis hotamboeia. Its description in RNAcentral is "partial 16S ribosomal RNA". Lineage: Eukaryota; Metazoa; Chordata; Lepidosauria; Squamata; Colubridae. The record is from RNAcentral.
CUAACUGUCUCUUAUAGUCAAUCUAUUAAACUGAUCCCCUAGUAAAAAAGCUAGGAUAHCAACAUAAGACCAGAAGACCCUGUGAAGCUUAAACUAAACUAUUAAACCACAUAAUAACUACUUUCGGUUGGGGCGACCUUGGAAAAAAAAAGAACUUCCAAAUAUAUGACCUUCAUCAUACUAAANGGCACACAAGCCAACAAACGACCCAGCACAGCUGACCAAUGAACCAAGUUACUCCAGGGAUAACAGCGCAAUCCUMUUCAAGAGCCCAUAUCAAAAAGAGGGUUUACGACCUCGAUGUUGGAUCAGGA